Acinonyx jubatus (cheetah) is the source of this 3997-nucleotide long non-coding RNA. RefSeq lists it as uncharacterized. Lineage: Eukaryota; Metazoa; Chordata; Mammalia; Carnivora; Felidae. The record is from RefSeq and is a predicted model, not a curated record. The transcript has 2 exons.
ACACACUGGCAUCCACAGGCACACAUACACACGGAUCCGUGUAUGACCUGAGCCAAAGUCAGACGCUUAACCGACUGAGCCACCCAGGCGCCCCUAAGUCUUAUCUCACCUUGUAGCCUGACCAUGUUCCAGGGCAGCAGUUUUAAAGUCUGUGUGUGCGCGCAUACACACACACACACACACAGGCUCACCUAAAUCUCAAGUGCCCCUCUGGGCAACUCAGUCAAUGAGGUCAAGAGCUGUUCUGGACAUGUCUCACAUGAGAACAGUGAGGGCCAGCGAGAGACUGUGGCUUCCCAAAGGCGCCAGGUUUCCUCUUCACUGAAAAAAAACACAAGCCAAGAAGAGGCCCCAAGUAUCCCCAUCCCCUCAAUUCCCCAGGAGGCAGCACUGCCAACCAGCAGAGCCGAGGCAAGAGGCCCCAGAAGCAAAGGGAGAAUGGAAGGAAGCAGGCCCGGGGGUCUCUGGGGUGUGACUUUCCCAGCCCCGGGAAGAUGGGACCGGGCAGGAUCAGAGCAGCCUCCCAAGCCUGACACCAGCCGACCAGGCUCCAAGAGCACAGGACCUUGGCUAGAGAUGAAGGCAGAGGGCACAGAGGCACAGGAGGUGGGGUCAUGGUGGGGACUGCAGCUGAGAAAGGGGAGAGCGUUCCCACGAAGACUCGGCCAUCCCAGCCACCAGCUUGGUGAGAGAGAAUAGGCUGGUGAGAAUGGAAUUGUACAAUGGGAAGGGAGAAUACACCUGAGGGCAGCCGAGAGACCACCAACCUCACCCAAACUCCCCAUGGCCGGGGAAACCAUACACAGAUCCACGAUGGAGGCAUCCUGAAUAUGCAGCUAUGCAGCCUUACCUGAGACAUUGGCCACAGGGGAUGGACCUAGGCUGGCCGCACAGGUGAGCAGCUGGAAUGCAGAGACAAUAGUGGAGAACAACUGUGGCUGUUUAUCGAGGGCAGCCCCCCACCCCGGCUCUGUACUUGCACUGGCUCCGAUCCCUACACAGCCUUCAGAGGUAGACAUCAUACCCAUUUUACAGAUGGGGGAACUGUGGCUCAGAGAGCAGAUGUGACCUUCUCAAGGUCCCAAGGCCAGCAGGUGGCAGUCAGGGUUUGAACCCACAUGCCUCUGAUGCCCACACUUGCUAGUGGAACCAAGAAGGCAGCCAGGGAACCAGCCCAGCAGGAACCUGGGCCCAGCAGAGAGCUACAGCCCUGAAAGACAUAGAGAGGAAGACAAGAACGACAUGAUCUGUGGGAGGGAGAGGUAGGAGAGGCCCGGGCUGCACAAUGGGUUUGGGUGUCUGAACAGUUGUUACACAGAAGUGGCAGAAAGGGAAAGACUGCGGCACGAUGAAUGAAGGUCAGACAGCUGGGAGAACUGGAAGGUAGAAACAGAGGGCUGUGAGCCUUGGUCAACAUUUCAAAACAUCACCCUUCGGAGCUUUGGGGCUGGGAUUACACCAACUCAGCAUGGGAACAUACGCUAUUCCACGCCUCCUGGAAGUUCUAGUUGGUAGUUAAAAUGUGUUUGAUUAACAAAAAUAGGAAAAUGCAUGUAACUUCUCAAAACAUGAGGCUCACGGGGGAAAUAUUAAUGAAAGAGUCCUUCCAUUGUGCAUCAAAGCCUGGAACACACUUGAUGACAAAGGGGUUAAGGUGGUGCCCUAGAAGGGCUAUCUGCAUGCCCAAGUUCUAACUUUUCAAGGCUAGGAAAACAGGCGAAGGAACAUCGAGGGACACAAAACUUCUACAAAGCUCUCGGCACCCAGGAGAUCCCCACCCAUCUUUCCUGGCAGCUGAGAUGCCCCCAGGGAGGCCCAGGCUCCUAAGCAAGUCUCACCUCCCAUUCUUGCGUCUGCUCUCAGGACUAGGUCCUGAGUCCUGGGCUGGACACUCUGACCAGAGCCUAAUGCCGGCUGGCGGGGAGGAGCAGGUUCUGGUCAGCAGCAACAUAGGGCUUCUGGCUCCAUUCAUUAACUAUGUGAGGUUGGGCAAGCCGUUUGACCUCUCCCCUGUUUCCCUCUCCUUCCCACCUUCCCCUGCUGUCCGUGCUAAAACUGGAAUAAUAAUAACAGCAACUUCCUCACAGGGCUGUUUUGAAAAUUCAUUGGCAUGAUCCGUGUAAUGUGCUUAGCAUGGAACCUGGUCCUAAUUGCUUAAUAAGUGGUAACCACUGUAAUUAUGAUCAUUAACUAUCCUGUCUGAGAUCCACAGUUGGGCCCUUUGGCACUCAAGGCCCUGAUGAGCCUGGACCACAGGAAGCGGCAGGGUGGGCAGCAGCCCGCAGGACAAAGGAGGCUGAGAGGGGAGAGCAGGCCAACCUCAUCCUCUCCAGGAAUGUGGCUGGCGGCUGGGAGGGUGGGGGGCGAGGGGAGAUGCCUCGCCGCUGAGGUCAGGCCCUAUUUGGAGCUGGCAGAGUGUUUAUCACCCUCACGUGUGAGGGGAGGGGGGGCGGUGGGGAUUGGAGAGGGAGAGGAGGGGAGGCGGCUGCCGGGAGGAGGGGGAGGCCUCCCUGAGCGGAAAGGACCUUCACCUUUGCCAGGGUCCCGGGAAAGACCACAGGCCCGUCCGCUCGCUCCGCGAGGGGGGUGGGGCAGCAGGGGUACCGGCUGCACACAUCAGCCGCCCCCCACUCGCUGCCUCAGCCCGGAACAGGACGUCCACCCCACAACGGGCAUCGUUUCCAAAGCUCAUCACCACAACCCAGCAAGCUAGAGCUCACCAUCCUUGUCUCACACAUGAGGAAACUGAGGCUGGGGCUGCUGACGCUCCCUGCCGAAGGGUGCCUGCUGACACCAGUCGCUCGCUGACCCAUCACCCUGCCCCUCCAGACACACACACCACCUGUUCGGCCCUGCCCUGGCCCAACACAACCUCUUCUAUUCUUGAGAUUCCAGUUAAGGGGCCCCAACUGCUUCUUCGUUCCCUGCUGCCCCUUUUCUGGCUCCCCACCACCAGAAGGCACCCCCCGGAACCAACCCACCUCACUCCAGCUGCUGCUUCAACCUGUUUCCUCCUAGACUGUCCUCCACAAAGACCAAGACAACUCCCUGGUUACCCUCCGUGGUUGUGGUCGUACCCACCCCUCUACUGAAGCGAGAGCCACCCUGGGCCUCAGUUUCCCCUUAUGGAAAGGACAAGUGGCCCACAGGGAGGGAGGGGGGAUGCCAAGACCCCAAGGGCAGGGGAGAGCCUUGGGGAUAUAUUUAGAGCGUUCCUCUUGCAUGAAGGCACCCUUCUCCCUAGUUUCCACAUCUUCCCCAAUUCUGUAAAAGCCGGACCUCUCUCCCUCCCCCUCUCUGCCACCUACAAAACUUCAGUGAACGCAGUCCUGUUAGAGAGACUUGCUCAGUGGCUCUAGCCUCCUUGCUGGUUCAAAUCCCAGGCCUCUCUGAAUCUCCACGCAUUCCCCACCCACGCCCUAGGAUAUUUCACACACACGCACGCGCACACAUGCACAAACACAUACACAUGUGUGCACGUGCACACAUGCCCUGUAGCCGCAAUUCCUGCCUGGGCUCUGUGGUUACCCACUGUGGUCUCUCUGAUUACCAUCUCCCAUACCGAUCAGAUCAGACAGAGGAACCGCUCCUCUGCCAGGGCCACCUUAGCCUCUCCCAGAAGACAAGGUACUGCGUGUUUCCCCGGAAAACUGGCUGCAAGUCCUGGAAGGAACCGGAAGCCAAGCCCUGUGGAGGGGGCGUUCCCACUCAGGCUUCUGAAGCAAGCAUUUAAGAUCCUCCUUCUGGGGCGCCUGGGUGGCUCUGUCAGUUAAGUGUCCAGCUUCGGCUCAGGUCACGAGCUCACGGUCCAUGAGUUCGAGCCCCACAUCGGGCUCUGUGUUAACAGCUCCAAGCCCUGGAACCUAAUUUGGAUUCUGUGUCUCCCUCUCUCUCUGCCCCUCCCCCACUCACAGUCUGUCUCUCAAAAUGAAUGUUAAAAAAAAAAAAAAAAAGAAAACAAAGUGAAUAUCGAAAUAAAGCUAGCCAAAUGAAUUUU